This 253-nucleotide ribosomal RNA is filed under the name uncultured bacterium. Its description in RNAcentral is "partial 16S ribosomal RNA". It matches the Rfam family "Bacterial small subunit ribosomal RNA", at positions 524 to 776 of the family's 1533-position model. The record is from RNAcentral.
UACGUAGGUGGCGAGCGUUGUCCGGAUUUACUGGGCGUAAAGAGCGCGCAGGCGGUCGUUCAAGUCGCGUGUGAAAGCCCCCGGCUCAACUGGGGAGGGUCACGCGAUACUGAUCGACUCGAAGGCAGGAGAGGGUAGUGGAAUUCCCGGUGUAGUGGUGAAAUGCGUAGAGAUCGGGAGGAACAUCAGUUGCGAAGGCGGCUCUCUGGACCAGUACUGACGCUGAGGCACGAAAGCGUGGGGAGCAAACAGG